AAAGAACUUAAGUGCAAUGCUAUCCUCAUUAGGCGAUAUAAAUGACCCCGGUAACGAACUUUGGGCCGGUGACUCCCAAGUCAGAUGACCAUAGGGCACCAGGUUAGAAACCCCUCAGGCUUAAUUGUUCGAGUCAAAUAGGCCCCGAAGACAGUCAUAAGUUCAACAAAAUAAAAGUGGGGAAAGACAAUAUGAUUAGGUGACACUAGUCCUAGAUCAAGUCAAAUGGACACAUAACCCCAAUCACAGAAGAACACCAUCCCAAGUCUCACCCAUGCGGUCAAGACUCACUCA
RNAcentral lists this long non-coding RNA (294 nucleotides) under Olea europaea (common olive). RNAcentral's name for it is "long non-coding RNA (OEUR_LNC009926)". The record is from RNAcentral. Lineage: Eukaryota; Viridiplantae; Streptophyta; Magnoliopsida; Lamiales; Oleaceae.